This 465-nucleotide ribosomal RNA is filed under the name uncultured bacterium. RNAcentral describes it as "partial 16S ribosomal RNA". It matches the Rfam family "Bacterial small subunit ribosomal RNA", at positions 338 to 795 of the family's 1533-position model. The record is from RNAcentral.
CCUACGGGUGGCAGCAGUGGGGAAUAUUGCGCAAUGGGCGAAAGCCUGACGCAGCGACGCCGCGUGAGGGAUGAAGGUCUUCGGAUCGUACACCUCUGUCAGCAGGGAAGAACGGUCACUGUGCUAAUCAGCAGUGAAUUGACGGUACCUGCAAAGGAAGCACCGGCUAACUCCGUGCCAGCAGCCGCGGUAAUACGGAGGGUGCGAGCGUUAAUCGGAAUUACUGGGCGUAAAGCGCUCGUAGGCGGUAUGUCAAGUCAAGGGUGAAAUCCCCGCGCUCAACGUGGGAACUGCCUUUGAAACUGGCAAACUGGAGUGUGUGAGAGGUUAGUGGAAGUCGUGGUGUAGGAGUGAAAUGCGUAGAUAUCAGGAGGAACAUCAGUGGCGAAGGCGACUAUCUGGCACAUAACUGACGCUGAGGAGCGAAAGCGUGGGUAGCAAACAGGAUUAGAUACCCGUGUAGUC